This 526-nucleotide ribosomal RNA is filed under the name Mompha cephalonthiella. Its description in RNAcentral is "SSU rRNA". It matches the Rfam family "Eukaryotic small subunit ribosomal RNA", at positions 1197 to 1717 of the family's 1831-position model. Lineage: Eukaryota; Metazoa; Arthropoda; Insecta; Lepidoptera; Momphidae. The record is from RNAcentral.
GACUCAACACGGGAAAUCUCACCAGGCCCGGACACCGGAAGGAUUGACAGAUUAACAGCUCUUUCUUGAUUCGGUGGGUGGUGGUGCAUGGCCGUUCUUAGUUGGUGGAGCGAUUUGUCUGGUUAAUUCCGGUAACGAACGAGACUCUAGCCUGCUAAAUAGGCGUCGUCAUUUAUGUGUGCGUGGCAUUCGUCACGCAACUCACUGGCGGCGUAUUAAAAUUCUUCUUAGAGGGACCGGCGGCUUCGAGCGCACGAGAUUGAGCAAUAACAGGUCUGUGAUGCCCUUAGAUGUCUGGGCCGCACGCGCGCUACACUGAAGGAAUCAGCAUGUUCUCCCUGGCCUAGAGGCCGGGCAACCCGCUGAAACUCCUUCGUGCUGGGGAUUGGGGUUUGCAAUUAUCCCCCAUAAACGAGGAAUUCCUAGUAAACGCGAGUCAUAAGCUCGCAUUGAUUAAGUCCCUGCCCUUUGUACACACCGCCCGUCGCUACUACCGAUUGAAUGAUUUAGUGAGGUCUUCGGACCG